RNAcentral lists this ribosomal RNA (608 nucleotides) under uncultured Meliniomyces. Its description in RNAcentral is "eukaryotic LSU rRNA". The stretch from base 245 to 398 matches the Rfam family "5.8S ribosomal RNA". Lineage: Eukaryota; Fungi; Ascomycota; Leotiomycetes; Helotiales; Helotiaceae. The record is from RNAcentral.
CUUGGUCAUUUAGAGGAAGUAAAAGUCGUAACAAGGUUUCCGUAGGUGAACCUGCGGAAGGAUCAUUAAAAAAAGAGAAACGUCCCGUUUUUUUUCAUAAGAAUGGGUUCUAUUCCCUUAAACCGUGUCUACAUACCUUUGUUGCUUUGGCAGGCCGCCUUCGGGCGUCGGCUCCGGCUGAUAGUGCCUGCCAGAGGACCCAAACUCUAUGUUUAGUGAUGUCUGAGUACUAUAUAAUAUUUAAAACUUUCAACAACGGAUCUCUUGGUUCUGGCAUCGAUGAAGAACGCAGCGAAAUGCGAUAAGUAAUGUGAAUUGCAGAAUUCAGUGAAUCAUCGAAUCUUUGAACGCACAUUGCGCCCCUUGGUAUUCCGAGGGGCAUGCCUGUUCGAGCGUCAUUAUAACCACUCAAGCCUGGCUUGGUAUUGGGGUUUUCGCGUGUUCGCGGCCCUUAAAAUCAGUGGCGGUGCCGUCUGGCUCUAAGCGUAGUAAUUUCUCUCGCUAUAGGGUUCCGGUGGUUACUUGCCAAAACCCCCCUAUUUUUUCUAGGUUGACCUCGGAUCAGGUAGGGAUACCCGCUGAACUUAAGCAUAUCAAUAAGCGGAGGA